AGAGUUUGAUCAUGGCUCAGGACGAACGCUGGCGGCGCGCUUAACACAUGCAAGUCGAGCGAGAACCAGGACUUCGGUCCUGGGGACAGCGGCGAACGGGUGAGUAACACGUGGGUAAUCUGCCCUCGAUUCUGGGAUAGCCCGGGGAAACCCGGAUUAAUACCGGAUAGCCUUUCGAGCUUUCGGGCUUGGAAGAAAAGGUAGCUUCGGCCUCCGAUCGAGGAUGAGCCCGCGGUGGAUUAGCUUGUUGGCGGGGUAAUGGCCCACCAAGGCGACGAUCCAUAGCUGGUCUGAGAGGACGAUCAGCCACACUGGGACUGAGACACGGCCCAGACUCCUACGGGAGGCAGCAGUGGGGAAUCUUGCGCAAUGGGCGAAAGCCUGACGCAGCGACGCCGCGUGGGGGAAGAAGGCCUUAGGGUUGUAAACCUCUUUCAGGUGGGACGAAGCCACUCGGGUUAAUAGCCCAGAGGGUGACGGUACCGCCAGAAGAAGCCCCGGCUAACUACGUGCCAGCAGCCGCGGUAAUACGUAGGGGGCAAGCGUUGUCCGGAUUUAUUGGGCGUAAAGAGCGUGUAGGCGGCCAGGUAGGUGGGUUGUGAAAACUGGAGGCUCAACCUUCAGACGUCGACCCAAACCCCCUGGCUAGAGUCCGGAAGAGGAGAGUGGAAUUCCUGGUGUAGCGGUGAAAUGCGCAGAUAUCAGGAAGAACACCCGUGGCGAAGGCGGCUCUCUGGGGACGGUACUGACGCUGAAACGCGAAAGCGUGGGGAGCGAACAGGAUUAAAUACCCUGGUAGUCCA
This 803-nucleotide ribosomal RNA is filed under the name uncultured bacterium. RNAcentral's name for it is "bacterial SSU rRNA". It matches the Rfam family "Bacterial small subunit ribosomal RNA", at positions 8 to 797 of the family's 1533-position model. The record is from RNAcentral.